This 336-nucleotide unclassified non-coding RNA is filed under the name soil metagenome. Its description in RNAcentral is "partial contains 5.8S ribosomal RNA, internal transcribed spacer 2, and large subunit ribosomal RNA". The stretch from base 1 to 120 matches the Rfam family "5.8S ribosomal RNA", at positions 35 to 154 of the family's 154-position model. The record is from RNAcentral.
GAUGAAGAACGUAGCGAAAUGCGAUAAGUAAUGUGAAUUGCAGAAUUCAGUGAAUCAUCGAAUCUUUGAACGCACAUUGCGCCCGCCAGUAUUCUGGCGGGCAUGCCUGUUCGAGCGUCAUUUCAACCAUCAAGCCCCAGGCUUGUGUUGGGGACCUGCGGCUGCCGCAGGCCCUGAAAACCAGUGGCGGGCUCGCUGUCACACCGGGCGUAGUAGAUUUUAUCUCGCUCAGGGCGUGCUGCGGGUCACGGCCGUUAAAAGCCUUUUUUUACCCAAGGUUGACCUCGGAUCAGGUAGGAAGACCCGCUGAACUUAAGCAUAUCAAUAAGCGGAGGA